GAUGAACGCUAGCGGGAGGCCUAACACAUGCAAGCCGAGCGGUAUUUGUUCUUCGGAACAGAGAGAGCGGCGCACGGGUGCGGAACACGUGUGCAACCUGCCUUUAUCUGGGGGAUAGCCUUUCGAAAGGAAGAUUAAUACCCCAUAAUAUAUUGAGUGGCAUCACUUGAUAUUGAAAACUCCGGUGGAUAGAGAUGGGCACGCGCAAGAUUAGAUAGUUGGUGAGGUAACGGCUCACCAAGUCAAUGAUCUUUAGGGGGCCUGAGAGGGUGAUCCCCCACACUGGUACUGAGACACGGACCAGACUCCGACGGGAGGCAGCAGUGAGGAAGAGUGAACAAUGGGUUAGCGCCUGAUCCAGCCAUCCCGCGUGAAGGACGACGGCCCUAUGGGUUGUAAACUUCUUUUGUAUAGGGAUAAACCUACUCUCGUGAGAGUAGCUGAAGGUACUAUACGAAUAAGCACCGGCUAACUCCGUG
Molecule: ribosomal RNA, 479 nt
Filed under: uncultured bacterium
Lineage: Bacteria
Description: partial 16S ribosomal RNA
Rfam family: Bacterial small subunit ribosomal RNA
Source: RNAcentral